This 550-nucleotide ribosomal RNA is filed under the name uncultured bacterium. RNAcentral's name for it is "partial 16S ribosomal RNA". It matches the Rfam family "Bacterial small subunit ribosomal RNA", at positions 355 to 896 of the family's 1533-position model. The record is from RNAcentral.
UGGGGAAUUUUGGACAAUGGGCGCAAGCCUGAUCCAGCCAUGCCGCGUGCGGGAAGAAGGCCUUCGGGUUGUAAACCGCUUUUGUCAGGGAAGAAAUCUUCUGAGUUAAUACCUCGGGAGGAUGACGGUACCUGAAGAAUAAGCACCGGCUAACUACGUGCCAGCAGCCGCGGUAAUACGUAGGGUGCAAGCGUUAAUCGGAAUUACUGGGCGUAAAGCGUGCGCAGGCGGUUUUGUAAGACAGAGGUGAAAUCCCCGGGCUCAACCUGGGAACUGCCUUUGUGGCUGCAAGGCUUGAGUGCGGCAGAGGGGGGAUGGAAUUCCGCGUGUAGCAGUGAAAUGCGUAGAUAUGCGGAGGAACACCGAUGGCGAAGGCAAUCCCCGUGGGCCUGCACUGACGCUCAUGCACGAAAGCGUGGGGAGCAAACAGGGAUUAGAUACCCUGGUAGUCACGCCCUAAACGAUGUCAACUGGUUGUUGGGAAGGUUCCUUCUCAGUAACGUAGCUAACGCGUGAAGUUGACCGCCUGGGGAGUACGGCCGCAAGGUUG